GCUAAUUUUUUCCAUGAACAUAGCUUGUCAAAAAUAUCUUUUCCUUCGAUAUAUUUAUCGUAUCUUUGUGUUUUACUUGGGCCGAUGAUAUAUGUGAAAUAAUUUCUGAAGUGUGAUUUUCCAGAUAUACAAUUGAUUUCAGAGAAAUGAACAAAGCCAAAAAAAGAAGCUCAGAAGGAAGAAAAUGAGGGUAACAGAGAGCUUAAGGUUUUUCCAUUGAAAGGGUAGUUGCUUCUCUCUGUAUUAUCAUCCUAUGAUUUCUCAAAGAUAAUCCCAACAACCCUUUCUUCAGGAACAUUUGCAUGUAAUACCCUAUUUUGGAACUGUUGUUUUAUGCUUCCGCCGGAAAAUUCAGUGUUGCCGUUGCCGGUGAGUAUAAUUGAUGGCUUCAAAGAGGUGGUGAUGAUGAUUUUUGUAAUUGUUUUCAUUCCCUUUCUGAGCUUUUUUAAUCGGGAAAUUUCAGAUGGCGUCGCCGGGAUCUCUUUUUUUGGCUUGAGCUUUAUUAACAGAUCUGAGCAUCAAGAUUAUGUAAGCUGUUUCUGAAUAUGGAUAUAUAGAUGUUUUUUGUUAUCAAUUGCGAAUCAACAAGUUCAAUUUUGGCCUGAUUGGAAAUUCCCAGCUGCUGAACUUGCUCCGGUCGAUCUCUUUUACCGGCGAAAUCGAAUUGUUUUGUUUCUUACAAUGAAAUUCCGGCCGAAAUACUCUGCUUUUGAACUUGCUCCGGUCGAUCUCUUUUACCGGCGAGAUUGAGGUGUUAGUUUCUGUUCUCAAAAACUCUAAUCCCUUCGUUUUCUUCCCAAUGAUGAUUUGCAAUGAUGGAAACCGAAUGGUGAGUUCGAUUUGACCCUAUCUGGAUGGGCUUUUCGGGUAAGGCCCAAUUGAUUAGGGCAUAGGGCACAGUAUAAGAAUCAGCAUUAACAAGAAAAUAGCACAAAUCUCAUUAGUUUAAGUAUGAGGCGGCAGUGAAAGCAGAGAGCUUUAGGGAGUUUUAAUGGGUGGUUUUGCCACUCUCUGUCAUUCUCCGCCGCCGAUGAUCACUCAAAAUGAUUGCAAAAAACUACCCUUUUGGUGAAAUUUCACUAGACCUUCCUCUGAUUCCAUUUGUUGUUACUCUCUCUGUCCAAAUUUAUCUUUAAUGAGGCAAUGAAGAUUUGAAAGAUUUUUGUCUUCUUUGGAAGAUGAAACAGACAUAUUUCUAUUGAGCUGGAAAAAAAAUGGUAUCUUGGCGUGGCAGCUCAGAUGGGUCUGUGAGAAGUGGAGGAGAAAGUUUUUUUUUCUGUCUCAUAAGGCUAACUGAUGCUUGCAGCUAUGGAGGUUUUUUCAAAAGCUUUUUGGUUUGUCUGAGAAAAGGCGAAUCUGAGCCUAAGCUCAUUAGUUUAAGUCUGAGGCGGCUGUGAAAGCAGAGAGGUUUAGGGAGUUUGAAUGGGUGGUUUUGCCACUCUCUGUUAUGCUCUGCCGCCGAUGAUCACUCAAAUGAUUUGCUAAAACCAUCCUUUUGUUUGAUGAAACAGACCUAUAUUUCCAUGGAGCUGGAAAAGACUCUAUCUUGGUGUUGCAGCUCCAGAUGUGUCUGUGAGAAGUGGAAGAGAAAGGUCCAUUUUUUAUCUUUCUUUUCUGUCUCAUAAUGCUUGACAGAUGCUUGCAGCCAUGGUGGUUCUUUUUUAAAGCUUUUUGAUUUUGUCUGAGAAAAGGCGAAUCUGAGCCUACUCUAACAACGAAAACAACAUACCCAGUAUAAGCUGAGCCUACUCUAUUGCCUUGAUUGGCUUUUGUGAUUCGGGGAAUGAAUUCCUGAGUUUUAUAGCCUAUGAGUUCUUUUGCUAUCAAAUUCUCAGAGAAACAUAGGAGUGUGCCUAAAAUGUCUUCUUUUGACCAGAAUUCUAGCAAUGUCAACUCCAAAUGUCUAUUUUUUAGUUUCUUUGUUUUGAUAAAUAUGUUCCUUUUUGAUACUUAAAAAUAUUUUCCCCUAUUUUUCAAUUAUAAUGAAUAGGGAAGCUCUCUCUCUGAGAUUAGUGUGCCUUGAUGUUUUCUCUUUUUUUGAACUCUGUAUAGAAUCACAAGGCCUGUGCCCAAUUGUGUUUCCGUUUGUCUAUAAAUCUAGGCAUUUGAGUACUAACGUAUAUUCGUUACUUUGUUGCUGAGAUGCUUAGUUUUCCUUAUAGGUAAAGUCCAUAAUUUCGUCAACCUGACCUGUAGUUUGAACUGUAAUUUGAUUACUCAUUUUUUAAAAUGAUGUAAUACAACUGCAUCAAUUUAUGCAGGAGCGCCGCAAUUUGUGUUGUCAGAAUACAAGCUAAACCCAUAAAUCUUUUGUGAGCAAGGCAGUUUAUUUAUAAAUUAUAAGGGAGUAAGCUCAUUUUAUAGUUUAUGCAAAUUUUGCAGUUGUUGCUUGUUUUGUGAGUACCACUAAAUUUGGAGGUUUUUCCGUGCUAGUUGGUUUUUUUGGCACACUUUAAGAUUGACCUAAACAAAAAGUCAUACUUCUUGGUCUUAUUCCGUGCAUGAAGAAAUUCAUCCUAAAUGAUGAGUAAUUUAAGUAAGCCAUGGAUUAACAUCCAAAUGAAGCUUUUUGUCAUAGUUACUCUGAUAGACGACCUCUAUCAGCAAUAUAUUAUAUUAUCACGACCACUUAUCUAAAGAAGUUGUUUCAGUAGUUGAAUUUAUGCUUCAUUUAGUCAGGUUCUUGUUUCUGCUAUGUAUUAUCUUAGGGGUUCUCUUUCAUUGAUGAAUGAUCCAUACAAGAAGUAUGUUGUGUAUUAUGUUAGGACUCUUCAUCCUUCUUACUGUUGUCCUUCUAGUCAGUUUGUUUACUCUAUGCACAAAAGAUUUCAUCCUAAAUGAUGAGUAAUUCAAGUAAGCCAUGGAUUAACAUCCAAAUGAAGCUUUUUUGUCAUAGUUACUCUGAUAGA
This is a long non-coding RNA of Solanum dulcamara, 2909 nucleotides long. RefSeq lists it as uncharacterized. The record is from RefSeq and is a predicted model, not a curated record. The transcript is spliced from 2 exons. NCBI's taxonomy places the organism in Eukaryota, Viridiplantae, Streptophyta, Magnoliopsida, Solanales, Solanaceae.